CCUACGGGUGGCAGCAGUGAGGAAUAUUGGUCAAUGGGCGCGAGCCUGAACCAGCCAAGUAGCGUGAAGGAUGACUGCCCUAGGGGUUGUAAACUUCUUUUAUAAAGGAGUAAAGUGGGGCACGUGUGGCUUUUUGUAUGGACUUCAUGAAGAAGGAACGGCUAACUCCGUGCCAGCAGCAGCGGUAAUACGGAGGAGCCGAGCGUUAUCCGGAUUUAGUGGGUUUAAAGGGAGCGUAGAUGGGUUGUUAAGUCAGUUGUGAAAGGUUGCGGCUCAACCGUAAAAUUGCAAUUGAAACUGGCAGUCUUGAGUACAGUUGAGGUAGGCGGAAUUCGUGGUGUAGCGGUGAAAUGCUUAGAUAUCACGAAGAACUCCGAUUGCGAAGGCAGCUUACUAAACUGCCACUGACAUUGAUGCUCGAAAGUGUGGGUAUCAAACAGGAUUAGAUACCCCAGUAGUC
This 460-nucleotide ribosomal RNA is filed under the name uncultured bacterium. RNAcentral describes it as "partial 16S ribosomal RNA". It matches the Rfam family "Bacterial small subunit ribosomal RNA", at positions 338 to 795 of the family's 1533-position model. The record is from RNAcentral.